CCUACGGGUGGCAGCAGUGGGGAAUAUUGCACAAUGGGGGAAACCCUGAUGCAGCGACGCCGCGUGAGCGAAGAAGUAUUUCGGUAUGUAAAGCACUAUCAGCAGGAAAGAAAGUGACGGUACCUGAGUAAGCAGCUCCGGCUAAAUACGGGCCAGCAGCCGCGGUAAUACGUAGGGAGAAAGAGUUAUCCGGAUUUACUGGGUGUAAAGGGAGCGGAGGCGGCCUUGCAAGUCAGAUGUGAAAUACCGGGGCUCAACCCCGGGGCUGCAUUGGAUACUGGGAGGCUGGAGUGUCGGAGAGGCAGGCAGAAUUCCAGGUGUAGCGGUGAAAUGCGUAGAUAUUAGGAGGAAUACCAGUGGCGAAGGCGGCCUGCUGGACGAUGACUGACGCUGAGGUGCGAAAGCGUGGGGAGCAAACAGGAUUAGAUACCCGAGUAGUC
RNAcentral lists this ribosomal RNA (440 nucleotides) under uncultured bacterium. RNAcentral describes it as "partial 16S ribosomal RNA". It matches the Rfam family "Bacterial small subunit ribosomal RNA", at positions 338 to 795 of the family's 1533-position model. The record is from RNAcentral.